AUGCUCAAUUUUUUCCCUUCUUUUGUUGUAGAAAAAUAUCCGGUAAUCUACACUCAGACAAAAGGAUGGAAAAUUCUUCAUCUCGGAAACCAGCAUGGUGGUACCUACAGAAGCACAUUAGAUAUGACAAGGAUGCACAACAUGAAGAGACAACUCAUUUUCAGAGACUGCAGCAUGAGGAGCUCCGUUGAGGUUUCUUGGAGCAGCCCUCGUUCUGCAACUGGUGAAGCAAGACAGGGGAAGGGAGGGAGCAGAUUUCCACCUGAUUUUCUCCACGUGCUUGAAGACGAGGAGUUUCUGCUAACUGCUGCCAGGCCAGGAGCUGGGACUGCCCAAGCCACUGACACCCAGUGGUCCCAGACACGCAAACCAGCACCAGAACCCGAGCAAGUCUCCAGCUUCCUAGAGAAACAGCUUGCUCUUGUUACGUGGACACAGGGUGCCAAUACCACGGAGUCCCAAUCUAAACCAGGUCCCCUAGGCAUGGCAGGAAUAAGAAUCAUCAUGUCUUACAAUAACUAUCAGUGA
This 528-nucleotide long non-coding RNA is filed under the name Anser cygnoides (Swan goose). RNAcentral's name for it is "lncRNA (ENSACDG00005000658.1)". The record is from RNAcentral. Lineage: Eukaryota; Metazoa; Chordata; Aves; Anseriformes; Anatidae.